AUUGAACGCUGGCGGCAUGCCUUACACAUGCAAGUCGAACGUGAAAGGGGGCUUCGGUCCCUGAGUAAAGUGGCGCACGGGUGAGUAACACGUGGAUAAUCUACCCGGUGAUCGGGGAUAACCUUCCGAAAGGGGGGCUAAUACCGGAUAAGCCCACGGGCUCUUUGGAGCUUGCGGGAAAAGGUGGGGACCUUCGGGCCUACCGUCAUCGGAUGAGUCCGCGGCCCAUUAGCUAGUUGGUAGGGUAACGGCCUACCAAGGCAACGAUGGGUAGCUGGUCUGAGAGGAUGAUCAGCCACACUGGAACUGAGACACGGUCCAGACUCCUACGGGAGGCUG
RNAcentral lists this ribosomal RNA (339 nucleotides) under uncultured Pseudomonadota bacterium. RNAcentral's name for it is "bacterial SSU rRNA". It matches the Rfam family "Bacterial small subunit ribosomal RNA", at positions 30 to 351 of the family's 1533-position model. The record is from RNAcentral. Lineage: Bacteria; Pseudomonadati; Pseudomonadota.